UGUGAGCUCGAUGAGUAGGGCGGGACACGUGGUAUCCUGUCUGAAUAUGGGGGGACCAUCCUCCAAGGCUAAAUACUCCUGACUGACCGAUAGUGAACCAGUACCGUGAGGGAAAGGCGAAAAGAACCCCGGCGAGGGGAGUGAAAAAGAACCUGAAACCGUGUACGUACAAGCAGUGGGAGCCUCUUAAUGGGGUGACUGCGUACCUUUUGUAUAAUGGGUCAGCGACUUAUAUUCUGUAGCAAGGUUAACCGAAUAGGGGAGCCGAAGGGAAACCGAGUCUUAACUGGGCGUUAAGUUGCAGGGUAUAGACCCGAAACCCGGUGAUCUAGCCAUGGGCAGGUUGAAGGUUGGGUAACACUAACUGGAGGACCGAACCGACUAAUGUUGAAAAAUUAGCGGAUGACUUGUGGCUGGGGGUGAAAGGCCAAUCAAACCGGGAGAUAGCUGGUUCUCCCCGAAAGCUAUUUAGGUAGCGCCUCGUGAAUUCAUCUCCGGGGGUAGAGCACUGUUUCGGCAAGGGGGUCAUCCCGACUUACCAACCCGAUGCAAACUGCGAAUACCGGAGAAUGUUAUCACGGGAGACACACGGCGGGUGCUAACGUCCGUCGUGAAGAGGGAAACAACCCAGACCGCCAGCUAAGGUCCCAAAGUCAUGGUUAAGUGGGAAACGAUGUGGGAAGGCCCAGACAGCCAGGAUGUUGGCUUAGAAGCAGCCAUCAUUUAAAGAAAGCGUAAUAGCUCACUGGUCGAGUCGGCCUGCGCGGAAGAUGUAACGGGGCUAAACCAUGCACCGAAGCUGCGGCAGCGACACUAUGUGUUGUUGGGUAGGGGAGCG
Molecule: ribosomal RNA, 838 nt
Filed under: Escherichia coli
Lineage: Bacteria; Pseudomonadati; Pseudomonadota; Gammaproteobacteria; Enterobacterales; Enterobacteriaceae
Description: partial 23S ribosomal RNA
Rfam family: Bacterial large subunit ribosomal RNA
Source: RNAcentral